RNAcentral lists this ribosomal RNA (517 nucleotides) under Claustropyga abblanda. Its description in RNAcentral is "partial 16S ribosomal RNA". Lineage: Eukaryota; Metazoa; Arthropoda; Insecta; Diptera; Sciaridae. The record is from RNAcentral.
ACAUGUCUUUUUGUUUUAAAUAUAAAGUUUAACCUGCCCAUUGAAUAAUUUUAAAAGGCUGCGGUAUUUUGACCGUACAAAGGUAGCAUAGUCAUUAGUUUUUUAAUUGAAAACUUGUAUGAAUGGUUGAAUGAAAAAUUAACUUUUUUAAGAAAAAAAUUGAAUUUUACUUUUUAAUUAAAAGGUUAAAAUUUAUUUAAAAGACGAGAAGACCCUAUAGAGUUUAAUAAAUAAAAAUAUAUUUUUUAAAAAGUUUAUUAUAAAUUUUAUAUUUUUAUAUAUUUUGUUGGGGUGACAAUAAAAUUUAAUUAACUUUUAUUAAUAAAUUACAUUAAUAUAUGAUUUUUUGAUCCAAUUAUAUUGAUUAAAAAUUUAAAUUACCUUAGGGAUAACAGCGUAAUUUUUUUUUAAGUUCAUAUUAAUAAAAAAUUUUGCGACCUCGAUGUUGGAUUAAGAUUUAAUUUUAGGUGCAGCAGUUUAAAAUUUAAGUCUGUUCGACUUUUAAAUUCUUACGUGA